GAUGAAGAACGUAGUGAAAUGCGAUACGUAAUGAGAAUUGCAGAAUUCAGUGAAUCAUCGAGUCUUUGAACGCACAUUGCGCCCCCUGGUAUUCCGGGGGGCAUGCCUGUCCGAGCGUCAUUGCUGCCCUCAAGCACGGCUUGUGUGUUGGGCCUCCGUCCUCCUCCCGGGGGACGGGCCCGAAAGGCAGCGGCGGCACCGCGUCCGGUCCUCGAGCGUAUGGGGCUUCGUCACCCGCUCUUGUAGGCCCGGCCGGCGCUUGCCGACACAUCAAUCUUUUUUCCAGGUUGACCUCGGAUCAGGUAGGGAUACCCGCUGAACUUAAGCAUAUCAAUAAGCGGAGGA
RNAcentral lists this unclassified non-coding RNA (345 nucleotides) under soil metagenome. RNAcentral's name for it is "partial contains 5.8S ribosomal RNA, internal transcribed spacer 2, and large subunit ribosomal RNA". The stretch from base 1 to 120 matches the Rfam family "5.8S ribosomal RNA", at positions 35 to 154 of the family's 154-position model. The record is from RNAcentral.